UUGCUCUUCAACGAGGAAUGCCUAGUAAGCGCAUGUCAUCAGCAUGCGUUGAUUACGUCCCUGCCCUUUGUACACACCGCCCGUCGCUACUACCGAUUGAAUGGCUCAGUGAGGCCUUCGGACUGGCUCGGAGAGGUUGGCAACGACCACUCCGAGCCGGAAAGNUUCGUCAAACUCGGUCAUUUAGAGGAAGUAAAAGUCGUAACAAGGUUUCCGUAGGUGAACCUGCGGAAGGAUCAUUACCUAGAGUUGUAGGCUUUGCCUGCGAUCUCUUACCCAUGUCUUUUGAGUACUUACGUUUCCUCGGCGGGUCCGCCCGCCGAUUGGACAAUUUAAACCAUUUGCAGUUGCAAUCAGCGUCUGAAAAACUUUAAUAGUUACAACUUUCAACAACGGAUCUCUUGGUUCUGGCAUCGAUGAAGAACGCAGCGAAAUGCGAUAAGUAGUGUGAAUUGCAGAAUUCAGUGAAUCAUCGAAUCUUUGAACGCACAUUGCGCUCUUUGGUAUUCCGAAGAGCAUGCCUGUUUGAGUGUCAUGAAACUCUCACCUCCAAUCUUUUUUAACUAGAAGGUUGGGGCGUGGACGUGAGUGCUGCUGGUGCCCUGGCUGCAUCGGCUCACUUGAAAUUCAUUAGCUGAAUCCUUUAAAGUAGGUUCUACUCGACGUGAUAAGAUCUCCGUCGAGGACAGUGCUUCGGCAUUGGCCAACGAUAAAGUUGAUACGCUUCUAAUUAGCGCAGACUUCGAGUGCUGGCAAUUUUGACAACUUGGCCUCAAAUCAGGUAGGACUACCCACUGAACUUAAGCAUAUCAAUAAGCGGAGGA
This 824-nucleotide ribosomal RNA is filed under the name uncultured fungus. RNAcentral's name for it is "eukaryotic LSU rRNA". The stretch from base 1 to 242 matches the Rfam family "Eukaryotic small subunit ribosomal RNA", at positions 1593 to 1831 of the family's 1831-position model. Lineage: Eukaryota; Fungi. The record is from RNAcentral.